AUUUUGGUGGGAAAGCAACAAUCAACAAUUUCAGCGUCUGGAAUCCUGCUGCUGAGAUCAAGAUGAACUGAAAUGUUAAUGGAUCGAUUUCUUCAGGUGUUACAGAUAUCCUUGUAAUGUUCAGAUCUAUCAAAGAGGGCUGUCUAAUGAAGAGAGCGAGUGCUGUGCGGUGCACAUUAGGAGAAAAUCAGUCCAGCUAUUCAUCCAGGUGAUGCUCUGCCUGCAGGCAAUGAGCAGGGAGUGGGAAGCGGAAAACCUGGAGUGGAGCCGAGGGAAUAUAGAAUGCUUUAAGCUAG
Labeo rohita (rohu) is the source of this 296-nucleotide long non-coding RNA. RefSeq lists it as uncharacterized. The transcript is spliced from 4 exons. The record is from RefSeq and is a predicted model, not a curated record. Lineage: Eukaryota; Metazoa; Chordata; Actinopteri; Cypriniformes; Cyprinidae.